RNAcentral lists this ribosomal RNA (301 nucleotides) under uncultured bacterium. RNAcentral's name for it is "partial 16S ribosomal RNA". It matches the Rfam family "Bacterial small subunit ribosomal RNA", at positions 509 to 807 of the family's 1533-position model. The record is from RNAcentral.
CAGUCGCCGCGGGAAUACGUAGGGUGCAAGCGUUAAUCGGAAUUACUGGGCGUAAAGCGUGCGCAGGCGGUUUUGUAAGACAGAGGUGAAAUCCCCGGGCUCAACCUGGGAACUGCCUUUGUGACUGCAAGGCUGGAGUGCGGCAGAGGGGGAUGGAAUUCCGCGUGUAGCAGUGAAAUGCGUAGAUAUGCGGAGGAACACCGAUGGCGAAGGCAAUCCCCUGGGCCUGCACUGACGCUCAUGCACGAAAGCGUGGGGAGCAAACAGGAUUAGAUACCCGCGUAGUCCCUGUCUCUUAUAC